AGUGAACGCUGGCGGUAGGCCUAACACAUGCAAGUCGAACGGCAGCACAGUAAGAGCUUGCUCUUACGGGUGGCGAGUGGCGGACGGGUGAGGAAUACAUCGGAAUCUACUUUUUCGUGGGGGAUAACGUAGGGAAACUUACGCUAAUACCGCAUACGACCUACGGGUGAAAGCAGGGGAUCUUCGGACCUUGCGCGAUUGAAUGAGCCGAUGUCGGAUUAGCUAGUUGGCGGGGUAAAGGCCCACCAAGGCGACGAUCCGUAGCUGGUCUGAGAGGAUGAUCAGCCACACUGGAACUGAGACUCGGUCCAGACUCCUACGGGAGGCAGCAGUGGGGAAUAUUGGACAAAGGGCGCAAGCCUGAUCCAGCCAUACCGCGUGGGUGAAGAAGGCCUUCGGGUUGUAAAGCCCUUUUGUUGGGAAAGAAAAGCAGCAGGUUAAUACCCCGCUGUUCUGACGGUACCCAAAGAAUAAGCACCGGCUAACUUCGUG
RNAcentral lists this ribosomal RNA (492 nucleotides) under uncultured bacterium. Its description in RNAcentral is "partial 16S ribosomal RNA". It matches the Rfam family "Bacterial small subunit ribosomal RNA", at positions 29 to 507 of the family's 1533-position model. The record is from RNAcentral.